GUGACUGUAAGCUGUCCCUAGAUGAGCUGACAGACCCUGGCUGAGCAGGAAGUGGCAGGGUCAGGAAAAGCUAGGCCACAAGUUUUCCCUUGAGAGCCUUAGAGACUGCAUCUCACCAUGUUGCUCAGGCUGUUCUCGAACUCCUGGGCUCAAGCAAUCCUCCUACCUCAGCCUCUCAAAGUGUUGGGAUUAUAGAUGUGAGCCACUGUACCCGGCCCUGGUUGCAUUCUUCAUUAUUAGGAACAUAAGAGUCUAGCCCUGUCGCCCAGGCUGGAGUGCCAUGGUUUGAACUCUACUCACCGCAACCUCCACCUCCCAGGUUCAAAUGAUUCUCCUGCCUCAGCCUCCUGAAUAUCUGGGAUUACAGCCUAGGAAGAGAGAGAAUGCCGAAAGACUUCUAAUGUAUGGAGUUUAAACAUCAGAUGGUGAUUGAUUGCUAUUAAUUUAUGUCAGCAAAGGAGGAGAAGAAAUACGUAAAACUGCCUCUGAAGAAUUUACAUUAAACACCAAAAGAAUCUGACUCUGAAAAUGAAGAAACAAGGAAUAUUGUUUGUUUUGGGAAUCAAAAAAAAAAAAAACUUCCCAUUUGAGUACACAAUUUCCUAAACAAGAUACAUGAUAAUUCCAUACACUAUGCUUUCCGAAGAAACUUUGUAAAACGUAUUUUCAUUAUUCAAAACUUGAAAACACAGAAACAAUAUGAUGCAAAAAAUUAUCUUUAGCAUUAUUCCACUAAGAUAAUUCAUUUUAACAUCCAUAUAUUCAUUAUUAUGUAAAAUACCUAUCAGUAUGUGGGUAUAUCUUUGUGUGUAUAUUUUAACAAAACAAAAUUCAAUAAAAAUUGAAAUACAGAAAUGACAAAAACACACAAAAAAUAUAAAUUAUUUCCAUUGUAGCAUAUAUUACCUUUUUCACCUAACAUUAUACUGUAGGAAUAUAUUCUUUCAUCAUUCAAUGCUUUUGAAAAUAUAAUAAUAUUCCAUUUUAAGGACAUGCUAUAAUUUAGUUCAUUAGUUUUUAAACUUUUAGAUUAUCUCAUUUUGUCAUCAUUUAAAAAAAGUGUUCCUGGAUGUCCUUUUGCAUAGACUUUUGAAUGUAUUUCUGACUAUUUUCUUAACCUGUCCUGUACUUCUGCAAGUAGAACUGCUUGAGCAGAGAUUAGGAGCAAUUUUAAGGUUUUUCAAAAAUCUUGACAAACUAUUCUGCAGGAAAAAUGUAUCUUGUUACCAUCAGCAUUUUUAAGUAACUAGUGACUAAUUGUAAAAAUAAUUGUGUUUCCUUGUAUUUAAGCCUUGCGCUAUAGAUUUUAAAAAUUUGUCCUUUUUUUUUUUUCAUUUGUAAAAAAAAGCCAUCUAAAAGACCUUAGAACCUGGUAUCAGCUGAAGCUUACUAAACCAUAUCAAGAAGAUCAUGUCAUUCUCAAGAAAAGCAUGUUUCAAAUAAAAAGGAAAUGUCAGCCCUGAGCGUUUUUAUUAACCAUCUCCCCAUCUGACUUCAGAGACAGCUUUAGCUGACCACUUCCUCUCUCGGGUUUAUUUGUAUUAGAAAUAAGUGGAUUCAUUAACUGUGCCACUUGGUGGUCAGGCCAGGCCUGCCAGUGUCCAAUAACAGGUAAUGGUUGUAUUUUUCACGGGGUGACUGAUGUUUACUUUGUUGAUGGCCCCAGGAGCUCAUGUAAUCUGAGAUAGGUCUUUGUUUACUUCUUGUUUUACUGAUAUGCUGACCCAUUUGAAACUAGCGAGAAAGAAAAAUAAACAUUCUGGAAUAUGGUACCUGAAGUCACUCUUCCUUAGUGGCUUUAUUGUAACCUCUUCAAAGGCUUUUGUUAACCCACUCUUUUCCCAGCAAAAAACCCUGAUCUGGUCUCUUUUCCAAUUAAACCAAAAGCAAUAUCACACCAAAUAAGCAAACAGAAAAUAUUGAAAUUACCACUUAAAGAGAGUUUUAUCUGGGGUUUAAUUGUGUGUGUACUCAAGCGUUUAGUGUAGGUCAUUUGCUAAUGACAUCUAGUAAUUUUUAAAAACUGGAUAAAACUGAUACUGAGCCUGUCUACAGCAAUUUAACUAUUUUGGGGGAGUAUAAAGUUAGAUUUGUCUAUACUGACUUGUUUGCUCCAUUUUAAAAACUGUGUUGGAAUGAUUUAUUAUGGAUGAUCCAAAAUAAACGUGAAGUGAGGAAACUAUUUUUUAAUUACCACUGGUAGCAUAUUUAAUGGAAUUGUGUUAUUGUGCCAGAAACCUUAUUGAGCUAUAUUUGUUCUAUUAUCUUACUCAUCAGCACAGCAAAAGUUCAUAUUUCAAGGGUGAAGGAAGUGAGGCAUAGAGAGGUUAAAUAAUUCCCCAAAGGCAGAGGGCCGCCAAUUGGUGAAUGUCAGACAUAAUCCCACGCCUGCCUGAGGCCGGAGUCCAUAUUCUUAACAGACAUCCUCUUUUGUCUCCUUAUUUCAUGAUGCCAAAUAUGCAUGACGCUGAUAUAAAGCGUAUAUAUUGGAAUCUGUAUAUUCAAAUGAGCGAUGUCCAUUCAGUCAAACUGGAAGUAUGCCAAUUACCUUCCUAUAUUCAACACUUAGCUCAGAGAUGAUGAGGCACUUCACAGUUGUUUAAUUGCACUGAGCACCCACCCCACAAGCCCAUUUUACUUCUGUUCAAACCAGGUUUGCUAUUCUAAUUUUGGAAUUAUGUUCAUUUGCAAUCUGAGUCACAAGAGUAAAUAAACUUUAUCAGUAUAUCUUUAAAAUUAUGUAUACAUUUAUAAUGUAUUUAUGUAUAGAAAUAUAUAAACACAUUUAUAUAAACACACACAUAUCUCUAUAAAUCCACAUAUUUACACUUGACUACUAAAAAUUAGUUACAAUAUUUGUCUCUUCUAUGUGUUUUCAAAAGUUAUAUUUAAUCCCAAAGAAUUACCAUGAUGAUGUAUGACAGAUUCAAAAAGGAGAUUCAACAGAAUUUGAGGAAUUGUAACACAGUUAGAAAAACAUAGCCCCAAAGCAAACACUUUUAGGGAAUAUUCUUUAUAUUAAGUAUGAGUAUUAAAAAAUUUGAUUAGAAGUGUUUAUAUAUUACUUUAUACUUGUGUAUAUUACAUCCACACCCUGUAUACAUAAUAUAGUUAAUAUAUAUGUGUAUACAUCAUGUAUAUAGGCUGUGAAAGUAAUAUUAAUAUAUGAAUAAGUACAUAUGUACAUUUAAAAAUUGUAUGUACUCAAAAUGCAUAUUUUUUCAGAAGACUGACAAUUACAUUCUAGCACAAAACUUAUUCAAAACCUCUAGUCCAUAAGACAUGAGAAUCAGCAGGUUCCACUUGUGCCCCGUGGGUCUGUAGCCGAUUCAGGGUGGCAACUGCCACAUCUUCCCCUCCUGAUUUAUUUGCUUUCGGUCAGUUUGGCAGCUGCCCCCACAACAGCCUGAGAACGCAAUCUAUACUUCACAGAAAGGCAUUUGGAAUAGAAGAGGGUUUCUGAGGGCAUUUAAAAAAAUAAAUGAAAUAAAGAUGUUGCUAAAAGCUAUCCUCUCAGAUUCACAAGGCUGACAGGAAAACAAAGUUUCAACUUGCAAACAGCAUGAACUGGCCAAGUGGUUUGCUCUGUCAUGGACAGCAGCAAGGCUGGCAUGCAGUCUUGCUGUGCUCACACUAUUGGCCCUGUGAAAACUCAGGCCAGAUCUCCUGUCCAGACAAGAGCCUGGGUUAUUGGGAGAAAAAUCCAUUUUAACUAUUACAUUCAUUUUCAUUUUUCCAGGAAUACAAUCCAAAAUCGCAGGGAGCACUUGGAAACAAUUCUUGGCAACUGUAUUCAGUUGAAGAAACUCAGAAUAUGAAAGCAUUAACAUAGAGUGCAACCAAAACACAAAUAAGAAUCACCCAAGCUGGGCUACAAGAAUAGCUACUGUUUACUCUGAGUGGAUAUUUAUGAAGAGCCGUAGUAAGAAAGAUCUUUUUGAUGAUAACAGAGCGGUGUAUGGCAUGAUAUUAAUUCUGCCUCAUUAGUGAAAUGAAAAACUCUGAGAUAGGUGUGACAAAGAAAAUUAUCACUGUUUCUCAUUCAGUGUUAAUUUCGCUUCUUGAAUUAAAUUCUGCUCAUUCUCUUCGGUGCAUUUAAAAUUAUUCCUUUCUUUUGAUACAUAUAUAUAUCUAUAUCCUAUGGAAUACUACUCAGGCAUAAAAAUGAAUGAAAUCAUGUGUUUUGCAGCAGCAUGGAUGAAUCUGGAGGCCAUCAUCCUAAGUGAAAUAACUCAGAAACAUGUUCUCACUUAUAUCACAAAUAUCUCACUCACAAAUAUCACAUGUUCUCACUUAUAAGUGGGAGCUAAACAGUUAAUACACAUGGACAUAGAGAGUGGAAUAAUAGGCAUUGGAGAACUCCAAAAGAAGGAAAAGUGGGAGCAGGGGUGAGAAAUGAGAAAUUACUUCAUGGGUACAGUAUACAUAUUCAAGUGAUGGGUACACUAAAAGUGCAGAAUUCACCACAAUGCAAUAUAUCCAUGUAACAAAACUGCACUUGUACCCCCCAAAUCUAUACACAUGAAAAAAAAUUGUUCCUUUCCAAUAUCAGCAUGUAUUAGAAUCAGGAAUGGUUUAUACAUUAAACACUAUAAGCACAGCCCUUAUGGAAUGUGAGCCUUUUGAAGAUACAUUAUUUGGAUAGAGCUUGAAUUUUUUUUUUUAAAAAAGAACAAUAAUAGUAACAUGCAUUGAGUGUUUACUUUGUACCAGGUAUGCUAUGAGGGUUUUACAUCCAUUAACUCUCUUGAUCCCCACACCACCCUUUGGGCAAGGUACUUAAAUUAUCAUCAUAUGCAAAACUUGACAUGUAGAGAGAAUAAGGAACUCGCUCAAGGUUAGACUGAUAAUAAGUGACGGAGCUGAUCUUCUAACCCCUGGAGUUGACUUUGCCACCACACUGCCUUCUCACACAUGUUCAGAACUCUCAAUCUUUUCUCAACAGAAGAACCCCAAAGUCUGUUUUGUGUCUUUUUCUAUUCAAACACCCAGACAGAGGGAAGAGCAAAGGUCCUAUGGCCCAGGGAAGUCUGGCUUGAUGGAGAAAAUGAAAGCUGAUAGAUGUGGAUGAAAAAACAAACUGCGGUCAAACUAACAUGAAAAAAGGGCCAACUAGGUAGGACCUUACCGGGUAGGUCCAGAUUUUGAUCUUUAACCUUGGAACAAUGAGAAGCCCAUGAGGCAUUUAGCCAAUUAACGGUUUAUAAAGUUCACUUUGGAAGCAAUUAGAAAAUCAGCAUGAAAUGGAGGGGGCUGAGUGGAUAUCAGGAGAAGGCUGAGGCUAACUCAGCAGCCCAGGAAGAGAAGCAAGGUCUUAGAUUAAGGGACUGGUGAUGUGAGAGUGUUCAGUGAAGCUCAGGCAGCCUCCGCUUCUUGGGGCUGACCCUGCUUGGAAGCCAAGGAGGUCCGGUUGUUGGUGUGUAGAUGCCCUCAAUAUGAUACUUUUGCUUAAGAAAUAAUUUUUCCCAUUCCAAUUUUUUAAUGCAAAAUUCUACUGAUUUUUAAUGUAAUUCAUGGAUAUCAUUCUAGAACAUGAUUUAAGCCAUUUGAAGUUUAUAAGAAAACAUAGGAAAAAAUUACAUGUUAAAUUUGGCAUGAUACGUAAUGAGACUAACAGAAUUAGUAAUUUUUUCUCUUGGAUCCCUCCUUCCAUAGUUAAUAAUAAUAAUCAUAAUAAAUCUGGCCUGGAACAAUAAUGAAAAAGUUAAACCAACACAAAAUCAUUAGGCUGUUUGCUUUUCUUGAGUUCCACCCAACAUAUGACUUCAGUAUUUUCACAAGGAUUAGGAUCACUUUCUAUAUAAAUCUCUAUUGCAUCAUUAGCUUUCAGGUAGUUGAAAAAUUUCAGUAUAAUUUGUAAUAGUUUUGACUUGAUAAAUUUCCUAUUUGCAUUUAAUUUGCUACAUUUUAUAAUAUCUGCAGAAAGACUCUAAAGUAUAUGUCCAAUUUUUCUUAAUAGAAAAAAAUACUAGCUUGUCAAAGCUUUAUUUGAAAUGUACAGCUUGAUUAUAAAUUACAAGAAAUUAAAGUGUGGGUUUCACUGACUACUUAAUACUGAGUAGCCUUAGCCCAUGUUUUGACCUAAUAAUCUGCCAGAUUUCUCCUCAAGUAUACUUAACACUUGUUGAAAGAAAGUUUAUUAAGAUUUCCAUUAGGAAUGACUGCUACUGGGAAAUAUAAUUUAUAGGACUGUCUGUUACAGAAAUAAAGCAAGCCAGAUUGAUCCAGGAUUCAAAAGAGUAUUGUUUGUAUCCACAAUAAACCAAUAAAAUCUUUCUAAAUGUGUUUCUGUUUAUACUUCCAAAGAGCAUUGCUGGAAAGCUCAAAGAUACGUGAUUUUUCUGUACUACUAUUUAAGAGCAUGUUUAUUAAAGUUGUUAUUUUUCUAGGGCAACUUUUGUUUACAAAUGAUGUAAAAAUAGUGCCCAAAGAUACUGACUAACUGCAAUGACUGUAUUUGUGGUAGUAGGUGUGACCCAAGUGAGAGCCCAAGACAAAAAGCAAAACAAGAAAACAAAGACAGAGGAUUAUGGUCUCAAAUCCUACACAAAACUUGGGAAGAACUGCUGUCCUUUCUUUGUCAGCAGAAUUCUCUAAAAGCCACAUGUUUAUUUUUGGCCUAUAGGGAGUUUAGUGCGGCUCAUUGUUUGUACAAAGCUAUUUCAGUGACUGAUUAUUAUUAAUUACCCUCCUGAAAGAACGUCAAGUCAGACAGGACUCAAGUUUCAGAACUAAGGUAUGUAACAGCCCUUCCCGUUUGACUAGGAUGAUCCUGAUGGUGGCUUUUUUGUGUACCCACGGGCAAGGCCAAAAUGGCCUGACUGGGCCCAGGGCCUUCGUGGGCUGUCCUGUAUGGCACCCCUAGUGAGGAGGAAACAUUUUACUUACGUGUGACAUUUACUCAGAAACCUGACUAUAAGUAUGGUGAAUGUAUGGUUUAUGGCAUAAACAGCAACAUGUUUGUGAAGUAAAGAUGGCGUUCUUCAUAACAAUGGCGGUUCAACCAGCAUGAACUAGAACUGUCCUGGGAAAACUAGAAAACACAACUGAGGACCGAGAAACAAAAGGUCUCAUGUAUACCCCAAAAUGGUAUUAAAAAGAGACAAAAUACUAAAGUAUAAAUAGCUUAUUAUAAGACACAAUUUUGAGCAUGCUUUCUUUACUUUAGAUACAAUUUGCAAAAUCUUCCCUGUAGCUUUAUGUCAGUCCAGGGCCGCUGAUUAUGAAAUUGCAAAUUUGAAGAAUGAGGUGGCUUCCUUAAUAAGUAGCAGUUGAUAACCGCUAAGGAAGCAUGAACAACAAAAGUGGCCAAAUCAAAAGGCACAAGAAGUGUUCAAAGUAAACCAAAAUUUAGGAGCUACAGUUUUAUUUCAUAAGUGAAAAUUUAGUAAGCCUCAAAAACAUCACAUAGAGUGUCUGUCUGGGCUGCAAGACCCUGAAGUGGCAACUCCAUUUCCAAACUUUGCAUCAAAAUAUUCCAAUCUGAAUGGGCUUUUAUUUUCUGAGAGGAUGAGUUAAAUCAAUUUACAUGUGUUGAUUGAGUUCUUAUCACUUGUUUAAGAAGUGUGUCACUUUCCAGGUAUCCUAUGUCUUCCCCUUGAUUUCGAAAGUCACCAGGCAAGAGAAUUAGAUCCAUUCAGUUUAAAUUUAUGAUUUUCUAUACUCAGAAAAACCCCAUUUUAAAAAGUAUAAUAUAGUUCCUUUUCCCCAAGAUUUUUCUAUAUUUUCCACAUAUUUUUUAAAAAUGUAAUUGGUCAUCUUAUUAAAAUUCAUAAAUAGAAUAGAUGAGUAAAUAGAGAAUUUAAAAAUAGAAUGAGUGAGCCGGCCGGGCCCAGUGGCUCACGCCUGUAAUCCCAGCACUUUGGGAGGCCGAGGCGGGUGGAUCACGAGGUCAGGAGAUUGAGACCACGGUGAAACCCCGUCUCUACUAAAAAUACAAAAAAUUAGCCGGGCGUGGUGGCGGGCACCUGUAGUCCCAGCUACUUGGGAGGCUGAGGCAGGAGAAUGGCGUGAACCCUGGAGGCGGAGCUUGCAGUGAACCCAGAUCGCGC
RNAcentral lists this long non-coding RNA (8051 nucleotides) under Homo sapiens (human). RNAcentral describes it as "HSALNT0332390". Lineage: Eukaryota; Metazoa; Chordata; Mammalia; Primates; Hominidae. The record is from RNAcentral.